RNA transcript from Mangifera indica (mango), 2550 nucleotides. It is a transcript of the gene named pentatricopeptide repeat-containing protein At2g13600-like, with no coding region annotated. The transcript has 3 exons. Lineage: Eukaryota; Viridiplantae; Streptophyta; Magnoliopsida; Sapindales; Anacardiaceae. The record is from RefSeq and is a predicted model, not a curated record.
UUAUUGCUAAUUCUAAUAUUCUCAUUUUGUGUUGAUUUUCAUAAUUUUUUUUAAUCUAAAAUUGCUUAAAACAUGUAAACAUUUUUCGGGGGAAUUUUUUUCUCAAAUCCGUAAACAUUUCCCGGUCGGUUUUCGAAAAAACCCGAAAUGCUCCCUGAAACUAUUUGCUCAGUGGUGCAGCACUGCUCCAAAAUCAAAGCAUUUCGUCAAGGGUUUUCACUUCAUGCCGCUGUUUAUAAAACAGGCAUACAAUCUGAUGUAUUCAUAUCCAACCAUCUUCUCAACAUGUACGCUAAGUGUGGCAAAAUUUCUUCCGCCCGCCAAAUGUUCGACGAAAUGUCUCACAGAAACCUCAUUUCUUGGUCAGCUAUGAUUUCUGGGUAUGCCCAGUUUGGGAAUCAUUUAUUAGCUCUUGAACUCUUUUCACGAAUGCAACUUGUGCCUAAUGACUACAUUUUUGCCAGUGCCUUAAGUGCUUGCGCUAGCCUUCAGGCUGUGGCGCUUGGUCGGCAAAUUCAUGCUCAAACGUUGAAGUUGGGGUAUGCUUCUGUUUGUUUUGUUUUCAAUUCAAUUAUGUCGAUGUACAUGAAAUGUGGUCGUUUUUAUGAUGCUUUGUUCUUUCUUGAUGAGGUAUUGGAACCGAAUUCUGUUUCUUACAAUGCUUUGAUUGCCGGCUUUGUGGAAAACCAAGAGUAUGAAAAAGGAUUGGAACUGUUUAAACUUAUGCACGAGCAAGGACUUGCUGCAGAUUGCUUUACUUUUGCUGGAGUGUUGGAGAGUUGCAUGAAUUUGAAUGAUUUGCAUAGGGGAAUGGUGCUGCAUUGUCAAACAGUGAAGGUUAAACUUGAUUCUUCUGCCUUUGUUGGCAAUUUGAUAAUGACAAUGUACUCAAAAUUCAAUUUGAUGGAAGAAGCGGAGAAAGUCUUUAGAAUAAUUGAAGAGAAAGAUGUUAUUUUGUGGAACACUUUUAUAGCUGGUUGCUCUCAUUGUAUGGAUCAUGAAAAGGGUUUAAGAUUUUUUAAAGAAAUGUCAAACGAAAAUAUUGUGACACCUGAUGAGUUUACUUUUGCCAGUGUUCUUGCUGCCUCUGCUGGGCUUGCUUCAAUUCACCAUGGCAAGCAGAUUCAUGGUCACCUAAUCAGGGCCAAAUUCAAUCAAGAUGUGGGACUUGGUAAUGCGCUUGUUAACAUGUAUGCUAAAUGUGGUUCAAUUGACUAUGCAUACAAGUUAUUUAACAGGAUGCCUCAUCACAAUCUUGUCACAUGGAACACCAUCAUUACUGCAUAUGGUAAUCAUGGACAGGGAGAGAUGGCCUUAGAACUUUUUGAGCAGAUGAAAGCAGUGGGGGUAAAUCCAGAUUCAGUUACCUUCACUGGACUUUUAAUGGCUUGCAAUCAUGCAGGGCUUGUAGAGAAGGGUGAAUUUUACUUCAAUUCUAUGGAAGAAAUCUAUGGGAUUGCCCCCCAAAUAGAGCAUUUCUCUUGUCUUAUAGAUGUAUUGGGACGAGCAGGGAAAUUGCAGGAAGCAGAGAAGUACAUGAAAAAAUCUCCUUUCAGCCAAGAUCCAAUAGUUUUAGGUAGCUUGCUUUCUUCAUGUUGGCUACAUGGAAAUGUUGUCAUUGGGGAACGUUUAGCUGAACAGCUAUUCAAAUUUCAACCUGUGACUACUUCGCCUUAUGUUCUUGUUGCCAACUUGUAUGCUUCAGAUGCAAUGUGGAGUGAUGUUGUGGAGGCAAGGAAGAAGUUGAAGUAUUGUGGGCUAAAGAAGGAGCCUGGCCAUAGUAUGAUUGAACUGAAGGGAAAUUUUGAAAAAUUUACGGUAGGGAACUUUUCUCAUGCAAGGAUUGAAGAAAUAAAGUUUAUGCUCAAGGUUUUAGGUUGGGCAGCAGCUGAAGUUUCUUUUAUCGAUAUACUUAGUUGAAAGAUCUUUAAAAAGCCUAAACAGAGGAUAUAUAUUUUUUGUAACAAGGAACCUCUACAUGAAUCGAAUCAUCCUUUUUGCGUCUAUUCAGAAGCUACUUUUCAACUUAGUUAGGCCUUAACUGAUCACACCAAGGAUAAAACCUCAGGUCCAAUGACCUGUUUCUCAACCAUCAUCCUAGGUAAGUUAAGAAUUGAAAUUUGAUAUGUUACCAACAAUGUUUGAACCCAUCCCCUCUUGCUUGGGUGCUCCCACCUUUACCACUUAAGCUAUGGGGGCUAGAUAUUUCGUUUCACGGAAAUGUUUGCAUUUCUGCUAGAUUUCCUGACAUGUAGUAACAUUUCUACUCAACUUUCAACUUUUCAGGCAUUACCAAAACUGAUAUACACAGAUCUUCAUGAGUGAGUAUUCACUAUAUAUCUAAGAAAUGGUGGGUAGCAUGUGCAAAGUUAUAUUUUAUUUAGGAUUGUAUAUAGUGGUAUUGAUCAGAACAUUGUUUCAUUUCUUAUGUAGAAAAAUAAAAUCAGUGAGAGCCUUGGCCGUUCCAUUUGCUAUUUGCUUAUAUAUUAUUUCAUUACAGUUACAUUGGCCUUUCUUAUUCUAAUAGAAUAAGCUGUUCUUUCUAUAGAA